CCUACGGGGGGCUGCAGUGGGGAAUAUUGCACAAUGGGGGAAACCCUGAUGCAGCGACGCCGCGUGAGUGAAGAAGUAUUUCGGUACGUAAAGCUCUAUCAGCAGGGAAGAAAAUGACGGUACCUGACUAAGAAGCCCCGGCUAACUACGUUCCAGCAGCCGCGGUAAUACGUAGGAUGCGAGCGUUAUCCGGAUUUAUGGGGUUUAAAGGGUGCGCAGGCGGAGGCACAAGUCAGCGGUAAAAUCGCGGGGCUCAACCCCGCUCCGCCGUUGAAACUGUGUCCCUUGAGUGCGCGAAGGGUAGGCGGAAUGCGUGGUGUAGCGGUGAAAUGCAUAGAUAUCACGCAGAACUCCGAUUGCGAAGGCAGCAUACCGGCGCUCAACUGACGCUCAUGCACGAAAGUGUGGGUAUCGAACAGGAUUAGAUACCCGAGUAGUC
Molecule: ribosomal RNA, 439 nt
Filed under: uncultured bacterium
Lineage: Bacteria
Description: partial 16S ribosomal RNA
Rfam family: Bacterial small subunit ribosomal RNA
Source: RNAcentral